GACGAACGCUGGCGGCGUGCCUAAUACAUGCAAGUCGAGCGGACCGAACAGGAGCUUGCUCUUGUUCGGUUAGCGGCGGACGGGUGAGUAACACGUGGGUAACCUGCCCGUAAGACCGGGAUAACUCCGGGAAACCGGAGCUAAUACCGGAUAACACCGAAGACCGCAUGGUCUUUGGUUGAAAGGCGGCUUCGGCUGCCACUUACGGAUGGGCCCGCGGCGCAUUAGCUAGUUGGUGAGGUAACGGCUCACCAAGGCGACGAUGCGUAGCCGGCCUGAGAGGGUGACCGGCCACACUGGGACUGAGACACGGCCCAGACUCCUACGGGAGGCAGCAGUAGGGAAUCUUCCGCAAUGGACGAAAGUCUGACGGAGCGACGCCGCGUGAGCGAAGAAGGUCUUCGGAUCGUAAAGCUCUGUUGUUAGGGAAGAAGAAGCGUCGUUCGAACAGGGCGGCGCGGUGACGGUACCUAACGAGAAAGCCCCGGCUAACUACGUG
RNAcentral lists this ribosomal RNA (499 nucleotides) under uncultured bacterium. Its description in RNAcentral is "partial 16S ribosomal RNA". It matches the Rfam family "Bacterial small subunit ribosomal RNA", at positions 28 to 507 of the family's 1533-position model. The record is from RNAcentral.